GAUAAAAUGGCUGAUUUAAAGCGAUAAAUUGUAAAUUUAUUUAUGAAUAUUAAAUUCUUUUAUCA
This 65-nucleotide transfer RNA is filed under the name Idgia oculata. RNAcentral describes it as "tRNA-Tyr". It matches the Rfam family "tRNA". From Rfam's summary of the family: Transfer RNA (tRNA) molecules are approximately 80 nucleotides in length. Their secondary structure includes four short double-helical elements and three loops (D, anti-codon, and T loops). Lineage: Eukaryota; Metazoa; Arthropoda; Insecta; Coleoptera; Prionoceridae. The record is from RNAcentral.